Molecule: ribosomal RNA, 488 nt
Filed under: uncultured Actinomycetes bacterium
Lineage: Bacteria; Bacillati; Actinomycetota; Actinomycetes
Description: bacterial SSU rRNA
Rfam family: Bacterial small subunit ribosomal RNA
Source: RNAcentral
CAUUCCACGUUCUCUGCGCCGCAGUUAACACAUUAAGCACCCCGCCUGGGGAGUACGGUCGCAAGACUAAAACUCAAAGGAAUUGACGGGGGCCCGCACAAGCGGCGGAGCAUGCGGAUUAAUUCGAUGCAACCGAGAGGAACCUUACCAAGGCUUGACAUAUAGAGGAAACGUGCAGAAAUGUACGCCCCGCAAGGUCUCUAUACAGGUGGUGCAUGGUUGUCGUCAGCUCGUGUCGUGAGAUGUUGGGUUAAGUCCCGCAACGAGCGCAACCCUCGUCCUAUGUUGCCAGCACGUAAUGGUGGGAACUCAUGGGAGACUGCCGGGGUCAACUCGGAGGAAGGUGGGGGAUGACGUCAAAUCAUCAUGCCCCUUAUGUCUUGGGCUUCACGCAUGCUACAAUGGCCAGUACAAAGGGCUGCAAUACCGUAAGGUGGAGCGAAUCCCAAAAAGCUGGUCUCAGUUCGGAUUGAGGUCUGCAACUCGAC